UACGUAGGGCGCAAGCGUUGUCCGGAAUUAUUGGGCGUAAAGAGCUCGUAGGCGGUCUGUCGCGUCGGAUGUGAAAAGCCCGGGGCUUAACCCCGGGUCGUGCAUUCGAUACGGGCAGACUAGAGUGUGGUGAGGGGAGAUCGAAUUCCUGGUGUAGCGGUGAAAUGCGCAGAUAUCAGGAGGAACACCGGUGGCGAAGGCGGAUCUCUGGGCCAUACUGACGCUGAGGAGCGAAAGCGUGGGGAGCGAACAGG
Molecule: ribosomal RNA, 254 nt
Filed under: uncultured bacterium
Lineage: Bacteria
Description: partial 16S ribosomal RNA
Rfam family: Bacterial small subunit ribosomal RNA
Source: RNAcentral